Molecule: long non-coding RNA, 124 nt
Organism: Amblyraja radiata (thorny skate)
Lineage: Eukaryota; Metazoa; Chordata; Chondrichthyes; Rajiformes; Rajidae
Exons: 2
Source: RefSeq, a predicted model, not a curated record
GAGCUGUGAAUAACACUGAACACAUGUCUACUCAACUCAAAGUGUUAUCUAGAGGCAGUGAGCAGUAGAACACAGCAAGACACAACAAAAAAGAACUUAAUAAAUCUCAUCUUUAACAUUUAAA